ACACCCUCAAGCUCUGCUUGGUGUUGGGCGUCUGUCCCGCCUCUGCGCGCGGACUCGCCCCAAAGGCAUUGGCAGCGGUCCACGGCCCCUCUCGCGCAGCACAUUGCGCUUCUCGAGGCGGCCCGGCCCGCGUCCACGAAGCCCACAUUACCGUCU
Molecule: unclassified non-coding RNA, 156 nt
Filed under: uncultured Cyclothyrium
Lineage: Eukaryota; Fungi; Ascomycota; Dothideomycetes
Description: sequence contains ITS2
Source: RNAcentral